Molecule: ribosomal RNA, 274 nt
Filed under: uncultured bacterium
Lineage: Bacteria
Description: partial small subunit ribosomal RNA
Rfam family: Bacterial small subunit ribosomal RNA
Source: RNAcentral
AGGACGAACGCUGGCGGCGUGCUUAACACAUGCAAGUCGAGGGCACUUGGGCAGCAAUGUCUAGGUGACCGGCGAACGGGUGCGUAACACGUGAGCGACCUUGCCUCGUGGUGGGGGAUAGCCGGCCCAACGGCCGGGUAAUACCGCAUAUGGUAGUUUCUUCGCAUGGGGAGACUAGCAAAGCCUUGGAGCAAUCCAAUGGCGCCACAGGGGGGGCUCGCGGCCUAUCAGCUAGUUGGGGGGGUAAUGGCCCACCAAGGCGACGACGGGUAGC